This 429-nucleotide ribosomal RNA is filed under the name Pseudomonadota bacterium. RNAcentral describes it as "Proteobacteria bacterium partial 16S ribosomal RNA". It matches the Rfam family "Bacterial small subunit ribosomal RNA", at positions 355 to 776 of the family's 1533-position model. The record is from RNAcentral. Lineage: Bacteria; Pseudomonadati; Pseudomonadota.
UGGGGAAUAUUGGACAAUGGGCGAAAGCCUGAUCCAGCCAUGCCGCGUGUGUGAAGAAGGUCUUCGGAUUGUAAAGCACUUUAAGUUGGGAGGAAGGGCAGUAAGCGAAUACCUUGCUGUUUUGACGUUACCGACAGAAUAAGCACCGGCUAACUCUGUGCCAGCAGCCGCGGUAAUACAGAGGGUGCAAGCGUUAAUCGGAAUUACUGGGCGUAAAGCGUGCGUAGGUGGUUCGUUAAGUUGAAUGUGAAAGCCCCGGGCUCAACCUGGGAACUGCAUCCAAAACUGGCGAGCUAGAGUAGGGCAGAGGGUGGUGGAAUUUCCUGUGUAGCGGUGAAAUGCGUAGAUAUAGGAAGGAACACCAGUGGCGAAGGCGACCACCUGGGCUCAUACUGACACUGAGGUGCGAAAGCGUGGGGAGCAAACAGG